AUUGAACGCUGGCGGCAGGCCUAACACAUGCAAGUCGAGCGGAUGAAGGGAGCUUGCUCCUGGAUUCAGCGGCGGACGGGCGAGUAAUGCCUAGGAAUCUGCCUUGUAGUGGGGAUAACGUCCGGAAACGGGCGCUAAUACCGCAUACGUCCUGAGGGAGAAAGUGGGGGAUCUUCGGACCUCACGCUAUCAGAUGAGCCUAGGUCGGAUUAGCUAGUUGGUGGGGUAAAGGCCUACCAAGGCAACGAUCCGUAACUGGUCUGAGAGGAUGAUCAGUCACACUGGAACUGAGACACGGUCCAGACUCCUACGGGAGGCAGCAGUGGGGAAUAUUGGACAAUGGGCGAAAGCCUGAUCCAGCAAUGCCGCGUGUGUGAAGAAGGUCUUCGGAUUGUAAAGCACUUUAAGUUGGGAGGAAGGGAAGUAAGUUAAAACCUUGCUGUUUUGACGUUACCAACAGAAUAAGCACCGGCUAACUUCGUG
Molecule: ribosomal RNA, 483 nt
Filed under: uncultured bacterium
Lineage: Bacteria
Description: partial 16S ribosomal RNA
Rfam family: Bacterial small subunit ribosomal RNA
Source: RNAcentral